This 669-nucleotide ribosomal RNA is filed under the name uncultured Zoogloea sp. Its description in RNAcentral is "bacterial SSU rRNA". It matches the Rfam family "Bacterial small subunit ribosomal RNA", at positions 94 to 760 of the family's 1533-position model. The record is from RNAcentral. Lineage: Bacteria; Pseudomonadati; Pseudomonadota; Betaproteobacteria; Rhodocyclales; Zoogloeaceae.
AGUGGCGAACGGGUGAGUAAUGCAUCGGAACGUACCGUGUAGUGGGGGAUAACGUAGCGAAAGUUACGCUAAUACCGCAUACGCCCUGAGGGGGAAAGUGGGGGACCGCAAGGCCUCACGCUAUAUGAGCGGCCGAUGUCGGAUUAGCUAGUUGGUAGGGUAAAGGCCUACCAAGGCGACGAUCCGUAGCGGGUCUGAGAGGAUGAUCCGCCACACUGGGACUGAGACACGGCCCAGACUCCUACGGGAGGCAGCAGUGGGGAAUUUUGGACAAUGGGCGCAAGCCUGAUCCAGCCAUGCCGCGUGAGUGAAGAAGGCCUUCGGGUUGUAAGGCUCUUUCAGACGGAAAGAAAUCUCUCGGGAUAACACCCUGGGAGGAUGACGGCACCGUAAGAAGAAGCACCGGCUAACUACGUGCCAGCAGCCGCGGUAAUACGUAGGGUGCGAGCGUUAAUCGGAAUUACUGGGCGUAAAGCGUGCGCAGGCGGUGAUGUAAGACAGAUGUGAAAUCCCCGGGCUCAACCUGGGAACUGCGUUUGUGACUGCAUCACUCGAGUACGGCAGAGGGAGGUGGAAUUCCGCGUGUAGCAGUGAAAUGCGUAGAUAUGCGGAGGAACACCGAUGGCGAAGCAGCCUCCUGGGCCAGUACUGACGCUCAUGCACGAAAGC